This 1488-nucleotide ribosomal RNA is filed under the name Salmonella enterica subsp. enterica serovar Hvittingfoss. Its description in RNAcentral is "partial 23S ribosomal RNA". It matches the Rfam family "Bacterial large subunit ribosomal RNA", at positions 711 to 2179 of the family's 2925-position model. Lineage: Bacteria; Pseudomonadati; Pseudomonadota; Gammaproteobacteria; Enterobacterales; Enterobacteriaceae. The record is from RNAcentral.
AGACCCGAAACCCGGUGAUCUAGCCAUGGGCAGGUUGAAGGUUGGGUAACACUAACUGGAGGACCGAACCGACUAAUGUUGAAAAAUUAGCGGAUGACCUGUGGCUGGGGGUGAAAGGCCAAUCAAACCGGGAGAUAGCUGGUUCUCCCCGAAAGCUAUUUAGGUAGCGCCUCGUGAAUUCAUCUCCGGGGGUAGAGCACUGUUUCGGCUAGGGGGCCAUCCCGGCUUACCAACCCGAUGCAAACUGCGAAUACCGGAGAAUGUUAUCACGGGAGACACACGGCGGGUGCUAACGUCCGUCGUGAAGAGGGAAACAACCCAGACCGCCAGCUAAGGUCCCAAAGUCAUGGUUAAGUGGGAAACGAUGUGGGAAGGCCCAGACAGCCAGGAUGUUGGCUUAGAAGCAGCCAUCAUUUAAAGAAAGCGUAAUAGCUCACUGGUCGAGUCGGCCUGCGCGGAAGAUGUAACGGGGCUAAACCAUGCACCGAAGCUGCGGCAGCGACGCUUAUGCGUUGUUGGGUAGGGGAGCGUUCUGUAAGCCUGUGAAGGUGGCCUGUGAGGGUUGCUGGAGGUAUCAGAAGUGCGAAUGCUGACAUAAGUAACGAUAAAGCGGGUGAAAAGCCCGCUCGCCGGAAGACCAAGGGUUCCUGUCCAACGUUAAUCGGGGCAGGGUGAGUCGACCCCUAAGGCGAGGCCGAAAGGCGUAGUCGAUGGGAAACAGGUUAAUAUUCCUGUACUUGGUGUUACUGCGAAGGGGGGACGGAGAAGGCUAUGUUGGCCGGGCGACGGUUGUCCCGGUUUAAGCGUGUAGGUGUGUGUUCCAGGUAAAUCCGGUUCACUUUAACACUGAGGCGUGAUGACGAGGCACUACGGUGCUGAAGCAACAAAUGCCCUGCUUCCAGGAAAAGCCUCUAAGCAUCAGGUAACAUCAAAUCGUACCCCAAACCGACACAGGUGGUCAGGUAGAGAAUACCAAGGCGCUUGAGAGAACUCGGGUGAAGGAACUAGGCAAAAUGGUGCCGUAACUUCGGGAGAAGGCACGCUGACACGUAGGUGAAGUGAUUUACUCAUGGAGCUGAAGUCAGUCGAAGAUACCAGCUGGCUGCAACUGUUUAUUAAAAACACAGCACUGUGCAAACACGAAAGUGGACGUAUACGGUGUGACGCCUGCCCGGUGCCGGAAGGUUAAUUGAUGGGGUCAGCGCAAGCGAAGCUCCUGAUCGAAGCCCCGGUAAACGGCGGCCGUAACUAUAACGGUCCUAAGGUAGCGAAAUUCCUUGUCGGGUAAGUUCCGACCUGCACGAAUGGCGUAAUGAUGGCCAGGCUGUCUCCACCCGAGACUCAGUGAAAUUGAACUCGCUGUGAAGAUGCAGUGUACCCGCGGCAAGACGGAAAGACCCCGUGAACCUUUACUAUAGCUUGACACUGAACAUUGAGCCUUGAUGUGUAGGAUAGGUGGGAGGCUUUGAAGUGUGGACGCCAGUCUGC